RNAcentral lists this long non-coding RNA (202 nucleotides) under Carica papaya (papaya). RNAcentral describes it as "long non-coding RNA (CPAP_LNC003206)". The record is from RNAcentral. Lineage: Eukaryota; Viridiplantae; Streptophyta; Magnoliopsida; Brassicales; Caricaceae.
AAUAGGAUGAUGACGCAGCAAGAGAGAGAUGUGGUGGAGGAGAGAAGAAAAAGAAAAAGAAUAAAAAAAGAAGAAAAAGAAGAGGCAGAGGAUGAGAGACGUGGUAGACUGGCUGUAGAAGAAGAUCGAAGUAGUUGUGGGUGGCAAGACAAAUCUGUGUGCGUGCCGAUUUAAUUUGAGUAAAAAGAGUGCAGUUACUGAC